CUAGAUAUAUAUAAACAUGACAGUCAAUUUUUUCGAGAGUUUGAUCGCUGAGCUCAGGAUGAACGCUGGCUGUGUGCCUAAUACAUGCAUGUCGAGCGAUGAUAGCAAUAUCAUAGCGGCGAAUGGGUGAGUAACACGUACUCAACGUACCUUUUAGAUUGGGAUAGCGGAUGGAAACAUCCGAUAAUACCGAAUACUUAUUAUUUUUGCAUGAAAGUAAUAUAAAAGGAAGCGUUUGCUUCGCUAAAAGAUCGGAGUGCGCAACAUUAGCUAGUUGGUGAGGUAACGGCCCACCAAGGCGAUGAUGUUUAGCGGGGUUGAGAGAUUGAUCCGCCACACUGGGACUGAGAUACGGCCCAGACUCCUACGGGAGGCAAAGCAGUAGGGAAUAUUCCACAAUGGACGAAAGUCUGAUGGAGCGACACAGCGUGCAGGAUGAAGGCCCUAUGGGUUGUAAACUGCUGUGGUUAGGGAAGAAAAAGUAGCAUAGGAAAUGAUGCUACCUUGACGGUACCUGAUUAGAAAGCAACGGCUAACUAUGUGCCAGCACCGCGGUAAUACAUAGGUUGCAAGCGUUAUCCGAAAUUAUUGGGCGUAAAGCGUCUGUAGGUUGUUUGUUAAGUCUGGCGUUAAAUUUUGGGGCUCAACCCCAAAACGCGUUGGAUACUGGCAGACUAGAGUUAUGUAGAGGUUAGCGGAAUUCCUUGUGAAGCGGUGAAAUGCGUAGAUAUAAGGAAGAACAUCAAUAUGGCGAAGGCAGCCUAACUGGGCAUACACUGACACUGAGAGACGAAAGCGUGGGGAGCAAACAGGAUUAGAUACCCUGGUAGUCCACGCCCUAAACGAUGAUCAUUAGUUGAUGGGGAACUCAUCGACGCAGCCUAACGCAUUAAAUGAUCCGCCUGAGAUAGUACGUUCUGCAAGAAUAAAACUUAAAGGAAUUGACGGGGAUCCGCACAAGCGGUGGAGCAUGUGGUUUAAUUUGAUGUUACGCGUAGAACCUUACCCACUCUUGACAUCUUCUGCAAAGCCUAUAGAGACAUAGUGGAGGUUAACAGAAUGACAGAUGGUGCAUGGUUGUCGUCAGCUCGUGUCGUGAGAUGUUCGGUUAAGUCCUGCAACGAGCGCAACCCUUAUCCUUAGUUACUACCAUUUAGUUGAGCACUCUAAGGAGACUGCCCGAGUAAUCGGGAGGAAGGUGGGGACGACGUCAAAUCAUCAAUGCCUCUUACGAGUGGGGCUACACACGUGCUACAAUGGACGGUACAAAGAGAAGCGAAGUGGUGACAUGGAGCAAACCUCAAAAAACCGUUCUCAGUUCGGAUUGAAGUCUGCAACUCGACUUCAUGAAGUCGGAAUCGCUAGUAAUCGUAGAUCAGCCUACGCUACGGUGAAUACGUUCUCGGGUCUUGUACACACCGCCCGUCAAACCAUGGGAGCCUGGUAAUGCCCGAAGUCGGUUUAUAAAGAAACUGCCUAAGGCAGGACUGGUGACUGGGGUUAAGUCGUAACAAGGUAUCCCUACGAGAACGUGGGGAUGGAUUACCUCCUUUCUA
RNAcentral lists this ribosomal RNA (1556 nucleotides) under Mycoplasmopsis bovis. RNAcentral describes it as "bacterial SSU rRNA". It matches the Rfam family "Bacterial small subunit ribosomal RNA". Lineage: Bacteria; Bacillati; Mycoplasmatota; Mycoplasmoidales; Metamycoplasmataceae. The record is from RNAcentral.